UUCAUCGUUCCAACACCCCAUUCUCAGAAACCUGCCCUCAAACCCUAGUAGCCGCCCCAAAAUCCCACCACCGUCCGGUGGCAGCGCCACCUCCAAACGCCAUCAAAAUUACACCACCGAACCACCCUGACCCCCUCGUUCUGAAUCCCCACUCUGUUUCCCUUGAAUAUUGCCCCAGCUCCUCGAAUCUUAGAUCAGAAACAAACCCCAGAAACCCCAAGUCAAGUUUUGGCAAAAUUUCGUGCCGAAUAUGAGUUUAUUUGUGUGUUCUUCGUAAGAGCACACGAUUAACCUCAGAUUUGGUCGGAAAAUCCGAGGAUCUGAAGCCCGAGCUUUUAAAGCCAAACCCAAACCUGUACAUGCAGAGUUGUUCCUUGAUAAAAAAUAGUAUUUGACGCCAUUUAGGAGUCCCAAGCCCCAGGUUCAAGUUUCAGUUGGUAAGUCCGUCUUUCAUUUCUUGGUCCACCUCUCCUCCUUUUUCUGGUCGAUUCAAUUAAAACUCUGUUAAUUGUGCUGUUUGAGAGUUGGUUGUGUUUUUGUGCUCCCCGUUAAGUUUUGUUUUCCCAAAUUGAUUUCUUUAACUGCUUUUGAUCUAUUAAGCACGACUUUGUUAGUAUCUUUGUUUAAUUAUUCCAAACCCGCUUAGGGUUGAUUUUGCUGUGUCAACCUUGUUAUUAAUGAAUCUUGUUACUUUUAAUUCAUAAUUGUCAAGGUAAUAGUUUCUGAAUGUUCAUUUGGACUGAUUUGGAACCAGCCUUGGGCUUUUGAGUCAUUUCUGACCCAAUUCAAGAUGCCCGAUUGUUUUGAGCCCAAGUUUGUUUGGUUGGCAAGGUAAUUAACAGGGUUUAAAAGGGUAAAUUGGGAAAUCUAGGUAAAGAAUCUCUCUAUAACUGAAAUAGGAAGCUUCCCAGAAGCUGUCAUUAGGACUCAACCGAAAAUCUGAUAGUACCUAGGGAUAUCUAAGCUAUAUUGCAAAUGUAAAAAGGGUCUAAUUACAAAAUUUGAAUUAUUUAAGCCUGCCCAAAUAGCUUGCCUAUAAAGGCAGCUUUUCUUGCCUUUCAAGGAAGACAAAAAAAGAGAUUUUAAGAGAUAAAAAAUAUAGAAAAUACAAACGGCUGAGCUCUUUUUACUGCUUCAUUGAACUUCUUCAGAAAUCUUUGAUUUGAUUCAAUUUUUGAAAUAAUUUGGACUUAUAUGAGUGUGGAAUGGGUGGAAUUUGAUCUUCGGAAGUUGGUUUUUGAAAUUAGCCUUAGUGUUGUUCGAUUGGGAGCUGUUUUGGACUGUUUCAUAUUAUUUUUGGUUAAACUGGGUUGUUGGUAUUGAAUCCUGCCAUAUUGCUGCUGCUGUUUAUUGCUUCUCACCUCUUUUUCCUCUUUGCAAAUUCCAGGUACAUGCUCUAAAACCUGUAUAAUGUGAAUUGCUUGACUUGAAAGGUGAAAUGGAAAUGGAGUUGAUGAGCUUGGCCUUAGUUUGUUAUUCAUUAUUUAGUUCAUCUCUUUCUGUUUUCUUCCUCUGAAUCUCUAGUCUCUGAAUCUGAAGAAAAGGUUCUUGUAUUUAAUAGGGGUUUGGUACCUUACUUGCUUUGAUAGCCAUGUAGUGUGAAACUUGAAGUUGGAUUUUCUAACAUUAUGCUAGAUUUGGACUUUCUGGAGUACAUUUGAGUCCAGAAUACUAAUCAAUUAUGUGUGUAUUAAUUAUGGACAGGGACUACUAGUUUAACUAAUUAAAUUUGUUUAGUUUGAAUGUAUGUUUCAUGGCUUUGGAAAAUAUAAGGAUUUGAUAUUGAAUGUGAG
Molecule: long non-coding RNA, 1793 nt
Filed under: Nicotiana tabacum (common tobacco)
Lineage: Eukaryota; Viridiplantae; Streptophyta; Magnoliopsida; Solanales; Solanaceae
Description: long non-coding RNA (NTAB_LNC011041)
Source: RNAcentral